RNAcentral lists this ribosomal RNA (497 nucleotides) under uncultured bacterium. Its description in RNAcentral is "bacterial SSU rRNA". It matches the Rfam family "Bacterial small subunit ribosomal RNA", at positions 29 to 518 of the family's 1533-position model. The record is from RNAcentral.
AUGAACGCUAGCGACAGGCCUAACACAUGCAAGUCGAGGGGCGAGCACAAGGAGCAAUCUGAGGUGGCGACCGGCGCACGGGUGAGUAACACGUAUGCAACCUGCCUGUAAGCGGGGAAUAACCCGUUGAAAGACGGACUAAUACCGCAUAAUACUAAAUUACUGCAUGGUAAUUUAUUUAAACAUUUAUGGCUUACAGAUGGGCAUGCGCAUGAUUAGCUAGUUGGAGAGGUAACGGCUCCCCAAGGCAACGAUCAUUAGGGGUUCUGAGAGGAAGGUCCCCCCACACUGGUACUGAGACACGGACCAGACUCCUACGGGAGGCAGCAGUGAGGAAUAUUGGUCAAUGGACGAGAGUCUGAACCAGCCAAGUCGCGUGCAGGAAGAAUUGUCCUAUGGAUUGUAAACUGCUUUUGCAGGGGAAUAAAGUGCAUCACGUGUGAUGUUUUGUAUGUACUCUGCGAAUAAGGAUCGGCUAACUCCGUGCCAGCCGCGGC